CAGUAUUCCAUUAUUCCAAGUGUCACUGAGUAUUAGUUAUAUUCAAUUUUGUAUAGUUAUAAUUAACAUCUAUUUUAUCAUAAAAAAAAAUUACAAAAUUCAUGGAAUUAAACGAAGGGACAUUUUAUGCUACCCAGGCAACAAUAUCUCGAUUUCUCAGUCAGUCGGAAAUCGGAAUGCUCCUAGUAUAUUUUAAUUUAUUUAAUAUUUUAAUAUUCACUGAUCAAAGAGUAGUAAAAAGUAUCUUUAUUUAUGUUAAUAUUAUUUAUUAUUCUCUGAGAACUGAAAUUUAUUAUAAAUUAUAAUUUUCAUACCUUCGUCACACAAUAAAUUUAAUUAUUUGUUUACCUACUUUAUUAUUCUGUCGUCUGUGCCUUCACGAAGAUAACAUUUUUAUCAGCUUAUGAUAACUGAGCUCAACGAUAGUAGGUAAUAAUGAUAAUAUUAUAGAAAUAUUCUUAAGGUCAUAUUACUCAUAUUAAUUAUUGUUUAUGUAUUAAUGUAUGAUGUAAUUUUCUUAUUCACAAUCUCACUAAUCUCUCUUAGUCUCGUUUCAUUGGAAAAAGUUAUAUUGAUAUAUUAUUGUAUGUAUUAAAUUAUUUUAUAUGAUGUGCGAAUAUUAUUACAGCUCAUAUAACUUAUGACCAAAUAUGGUCUUUUUACAUCUAUAAUAUUAUCUUUUAAAUCUAGAAAUAUAUAUUUGAACAUUGGAUGAACAAUUACAAUGUUUGUGAUGCCAAACCAGUUGAUCAAUUAAUUCAUCAAUAUAAAUAUAUAUCAUCCAUUACAAUAAAUUGGAAACCAAUUGCUUCUUUACUGAAGUAAUGACAAAUAUUUAAUUCAAUCAACUGCUUAAGAAAAACUGUACAAUGUUAUAAUAAUUUAAGGCGUAACAAAUAAAAAGAAAGCGCAAGUACAAUUUGAAGAAUGACCAAAAGUGAAUCAUCAUCUAUGUUUAGAUUAUGUAUUUUUCCAGUAACUUAUUUUUAAAGUUGAUAAGACUAAAUUACUUAAAAUUAUUGUUUGUGAUAAGUAUUUUAAACUUUUAAGUAAUAUUAUGUUUAUUCAUUGUGCGUUAUUUGUUUAUUACAUGUUUAAUAGAAUUAAUAAUAUAUAAACUAUAUAUAUAUAUAUAUAUGAUGUACAUGAAAAAAUAUUAAUUAUAAAAUAAAAUUAUUUAUAAUAUUUAAAUAUAAUAAGA
Long non-coding RNA from Aphis gossypii (cotton aphid), 1201 nucleotides. RefSeq lists it as uncharacterized. NCBI's taxonomy places the organism in Eukaryota, Metazoa, Arthropoda, Insecta, Hemiptera, Aphididae. The transcript has 3 exons. The record is from RefSeq and is a predicted model, not a curated record.